AUGCUUCGCACUGAGCUUCGCGACUGCCUUGCGUGUGCCGACAGUGUUUUGGGGAGGGCGGAGGCCACUCUUUCCAAACUAGAGGCGGUGCCGGAUGUGUCUUCGCUACAUGAGCUUCAGAUUGGGGUUGUACAUGAUGUGUCCUUGCUGCCCGAGAUCCAGGUUGGCUCUGCCGAUGGGGAAGCUAGCAUGUAUGGAGAUCUCUCCCCUCGUGUUACAACAUGUCAGUUGCCGCUGCCUGUCGUGCCGAUUGCUUCCAGAAGUGAAGUCAUUGUUGAGGUCGUGGCUCCGAUGCUGCAGAUUAUGCCUGAGCUUUAG
Molecule: ribosomal RNA, 318 nt
Filed under: Triticum aestivum (bread wheat)
Lineage: Eukaryota; Viridiplantae; Streptophyta; Magnoliopsida; Poales; Poaceae
Description: partial small subunit ribosomal RNA
Source: RNAcentral